GAAAUGCGAUAAGUAAUGUGAAUUGCAGAAUUCAGUGAAUCAUCGAAUCUUUGAACGCACAUUGCGCCCGCCAGUACUCUGGCGGGCAUGCCUGUUCGAGCGUCAUUUCAACCCUCAAGCCCCGGGCUUGGUGUUGGGACUCGCGGUAACCCGCGU
RNAcentral lists this unclassified non-coding RNA (156 nucleotides) under uncultured Ascomycota. RNAcentral's name for it is "sequence contains ITS1". The stretch from base 1 to 105 matches the Rfam family "5.8S ribosomal RNA", at positions 50 to 154 of the family's 154-position model. From Rfam's summary of the family: 5.8S ribosomal RNA (5.8S rRNA) is a component of the large subunit of the eukaryotic ribosome. It is transcribed by RNA polymerase I as part of the 45S precursor that also contains 18S and 28S rRNA. The record is from RNAcentral. Lineage: Eukaryota; Fungi; Ascomycota.